GCCUGGGUGGCUCAGUCGGUUAAGCGCCUGACUGCAGCUCAGGCCAGGAUCUCAUGGUUUGUGAGUUCGGGUCCCACGUCGGGCU
Non-coding RNA from Felis catus (domestic cat), 85 nucleotides. NCBI's taxonomy places the organism in Eukaryota, Metazoa, Chordata, Mammalia, Carnivora, Felidae. The record is from Rfam.